Setaria italica (foxtail millet) is the source of this 1068-nucleotide long non-coding RNA. RefSeq lists it as uncharacterized. NCBI's taxonomy places the organism in Eukaryota, Viridiplantae, Streptophyta, Magnoliopsida, Poales, Poaceae. The record is from RefSeq and is a predicted model, not a curated record. The transcript has 2 exons.
UCCACAACAAUCCUCAUCCUGUCAUCCGGCCACCACCUCCGCAGUCGGCAGUUCCUCCCAGUCGGCGCUCCACCACCACCGCCGCGUGCCAGGCCGCACUGCUGGACCUCUCUGCCUUCGACGACGCGCAGCGUGGGGCAUCACGGCUGUCCGCAGCCUCUUCCUCCAAGAAGCUCCACGGCCGACGACGCCCGUCGCAGCUCGCCACCAUUCCACCAAGGAUUGACGAGCGAGGCCCGACGGCUCCUACCACCCAAAGCUGCAAGCUUCAUCUCCGGUGAGAUAACUUGUCGCUUACUUUGGACGGUGCAGCAAUUGAGGGCGAUAGCAGAGAGGGAGAGGGAGAGAUGGAUGGGCUGACGGGCAGCGAGAUCGCUGGCUUCGUGGUGGGUGGCCUGCUGCUCGGCGCCACCAUCGCUGCGCCCAAGGUCGACGGAUUCAUUGCCUCCUCCCAAAGAAGGUCACUAGGUAUGUGUAAGAGGUGUGGUGAUCUUCGGAUAGUAGCAUGCUCACAGUGCAAAGGAAUGGGUUCAGUUCGGAAAGGAGGGCUACUUAAUUUGGGCAUGCUAGAUGAUCUCUACGAAUCACUCGGAGCUGAAGCCAAGACUGAGAAUUUGAUUCCUUGCACUAAGUGCAGAUCCAAGGGCCGUCUCUUGUGCCCAGAGUGCUCGAAGGUCAUAUGACCCUUAAAUAAUAAUGGUGCAAGGAAAUAUAAGGUUCUCAGUUAAGCUUAUAAAUUUUGCUGCUUUAAUGUGUCAACAAAUUGGUGAUGCAACAGUCGAAUGCAGUCUGGUUUUUCUUCUUCAUGAUUGCAUCUUGAUGUUAAGUUGUAAACUGCAAGUUUUAAUAUGUCUCAGUUGCUAUUACAACUUGGUAGAGAAUGAAAGCACAUAUUUUUUUUAUUAUCAACAUAUCAUGCAAAAUCGUUAUGCUCAGCAAAGCAUGUUAAUGUCUUGCAUUGAGAUAGUGGGUACAACAGUUACGGUGAUUCGUUAAAUGUACAAACUGAAGUCUGAUGUACAAACAGUUAAUACUUUGCCUGGAAUUCCAUAUAUUGUAUUCAAAGAA